AAAGCCUUACAAGUUCCACCUACCAUCAUACAACAUGUCCCUCAAGCAUAUAUCUGAAUCACUAAUGUUAACAAAGAAAAUGAUAUAAGUAUUACAAAAACUUGGAAAAAACGAAAUACACGAAAGUGUAAUUCAGUGCAUUUGCUACCUAUGAUUUUCGUCAAAACUGGUAAAUAACUUCUCCUUGCUUUUGUUAAAAUGAGACACUUUAACAUUCUUGGCUUUCGUGUGCGACAUGCUUCGUAAUAUAUAGUAUCUCUGUUAACUAAUGAAACCAACUGAUCGAGAAAACGAGUU
Molecule: long non-coding RNA, 297 nt
Filed under: Medicago truncatula (barrel medic)
Lineage: Eukaryota; Viridiplantae; Streptophyta; Magnoliopsida; Fabales; Fabaceae
Description: long non-coding RNA (MTRU_LNC000896)
Source: RNAcentral